UUUUCUUUUUUCUUUUCAGUGAAAAUGUAGAAUGUUUGACUGUUCAUGAAUAGCUUGUUCCCUCGGAAAUGUCAGCCUUUCAUACAAAUACACAGAAGUUGAAAUUCAUUACUCAUUUAUCAAAGGAAGUGCCAAGCAUAAAAAUGAAUCAGUGAAACUCAAUCCAAAGGCUGCUUCAGGGAUGUGCUCACCUCCUCAGUCCUGUUUCUGGCUUCACUGAGAUGGAUCAGAGGUCUCUGAUAGAUCUUUUCUGGAGGUGGCUGAGACCUGACAUGUUUCGAGAAUCCACUAAACAGUGAUGAUUUGCUGAACAAAUACUACAGAUCGAAGCAGACCUCAAUUUUCAAGGAGUAUGCUUGCAACUGAAAGCGUUGUGACUUUGACAUGAAUUUCAGGAACUGUCUUUAUCUCAAUCAGUGAGCACCAAACUAGCACAGUUUCAAUGGAUGCUGUUUGGGACCUGUGAGAUCAUUCCCAAAAGGCAGAUGUGAGCACUGUCAUUAGAGGGGCAGAAACACUUCACCUGCCUUUGAAAUGCUGUUUUGUCUGCAUGGAAAGACUUGUAGCUGCAAAUUGUGUAAGGCACUCUUCCAAGCAAAGAAAUGAAGUGCUGUCACUGGACAGUAUAGGAGUCUGUGUGCAGCUGGGAUGAAAAUGUCAGACAUCAGUAACCCUAAACAUUUAUAUUUGGGCUUGCACUACUCUGGAUGGCAAUUUGCAAGACAAAGCUGUUCCAAGUUGUCAAGACAACGUCUACAGAAUUGUCAACAACAAUUAAAGAAGCCAGAGAGGAUUUCUGUUGUUUCACUGAAAAUAUAGGCAAUAUUAGAGGAGUAAGAGAGUUUGGAAGAACUGGUUAAAAGUUAGUUUUCCUUGGAGGGAAGAGUGUGGGCAGUUGUGUAAAUAAAUACAGAGGUGGAGAACGUCCGUAGGCAGGGUAAACUGGAGAGCAAGCAGAAGAAAGUUCAAAGACUUUUAUAGAGUUCCUGUGAUUUUAUAUCCUUAAAAAUAAAAAAUAAAUAGAAAAUGUCUAUCUUCCUCCUCUGCAAGAAUGAAGUCUGCAAAGCAAGGCACUGCUGUUGAUUUUGGCCAGUAGCCAGCCAGAUAAAGAAAGACCAGCGGGCAUGUAAACAGCUUGUGCACAUCUCAAUGGGAAAUAUACUUCAAAGCUGAGUUCUAGAAGCAAAGAUUCAAACAUGGAUUUUUUCACCUGUU
Molecule: long non-coding RNA, 1215 nt
Organism: Lagopus muta (rock ptarmigan)
Lineage: Eukaryota; Metazoa; Chordata; Aves; Galliformes; Phasianidae
Exons: 6
Source: RefSeq, a predicted model, not a curated record